CUGCGCCGCGAAGCUCCCAAUUCAACCAGACAGAGCUUCUGUUUUUGUGUAUAAACUCGAAAUCCUCUUCAUCAACACAAUACACCACAUCCACACAAUACACCACAUCCUUCAUAUAGCCUAGUCGUUAUUAUCGUAAUGCAAUCUCUAGAUUGAGUGUGUGUAUGUGCGUGUGUGUACGUGUGAGAUAGAGUGCCCGUGUGUUUGCUUGAAUGUGCUGUUUCUGUAUCACGUACAUGUGUGUGUUUAGAGUGAGCUGAUUCAGUGUCAGUGUGUGGACAUGAGUUAGACAGGUAGAUCAGUAUGAUAAAAUGGGCGCGCGCACUCUCGGACAAACGAGCGAAGUAUCGUAAUGGGUUCAGCAGGUGGAGCCCUAAUUCAGUAAACUGGUUCAGUUUACUGUUCCUGAAAUGAGAUGAACGUGAGAUUGACAGAGCCGCUCAAAAACAGCUCCGCUUCAAGUUAGCUUCAACAAUGCGAUAGUUAGACAGAUGAAGUCAACAAGUCUCGCUUACUUUUUAGUCUUGUCUUCAAUUAUAGACGCGCAUCGCUGAGGCGUGUGUCAGUGUUUGUGUGAGAGAGAAGUUAACCAUCUUUUUUAGAGUUGUCAAGAUAUUUCAUUUGCCUGUAUCAACAACCUUUUUGUCAAGUGUGCUGUUGGACCAUUCAAGAGGAACACAUGAAUCGCAAAAUUGGUGCACAUGUUGCUCACUUGUUGCAUUUUAUUCGCUAAUUAAUAUCAGUGUGGAAGACUUCAUUCGUCAAGAUGGUAGAAAACGGAUCGCAAAAGUGUCAAAUAGCCUAGUGACUGAGAUGGACCUAUAG
RNAcentral lists this long non-coding RNA (825 nucleotides) under Oncorhynchus kisutch (coho salmon). Its description in RNAcentral is "lncRNA (ENSOKIG00005034562.1)". The record is from RNAcentral. Lineage: Eukaryota; Metazoa; Chordata; Actinopteri; Salmoniformes; Salmonidae.